UGGAACCUAAUCCCCCCGAGUUUCCCCUUCUAAUCCACGCCGUGUCCAAUGAGGAGAGAGUUGAGGCACUUUUGUCCUACGAGUCGAGCGCAUCACGGUCGCCUCGUCACGGUCGAGAGAAAUUGGAACGUUCUUUAUCCGAACGCGACGUUCGGAUGUAAAACGCCGGCGUGUGAUUGGUCGAUGGGAGCGUGAGGAACACGAGUCUCCUCUCCUUUCAUGUGGCAAAUGCUGAUGGCGAUCACGGUGGAGUCAACACACACCGGGCAGCUGGGACUCGGGCCGACAGCUGAUAGCCGGAGACAUGCUGAGGGGGGAGAGGGAGCGGCGAGGCGUCUCUAUCCGGGGUUUCUGAAGCACACGCGGAACGCUGAAGUAUUCACACUCCCCCCCAAAACUCUGAUCUCCAGCUGGCUCUGUGGGGGGGGGACCCCUUUAAACCGACUGGGCCGAGGCCGCCUUGGUUUUGAGUGCAGGGAGAAGGAUGAAACAUGAAAGAAAUCAAAGACCUUUGCGGCUUUAUCCCCUUUUUGGAUACCAACAAUUUGGAAAAAGUGCCCAUUUUGAAUUAAAUUCAAUUAAAUGUGUUUAUUUUAUACAGCCCAAUAUCAUAAAUUACGAUUUUUUUUUUUUUUGCCUCAGAGGGCUUUACAAUCUGUACACAUACGAUAUCCCUGACCUUUGACCUCACAUCGGAUCAGGAAAAAGUCCCCCCAAGAAAAAGAAAAAAACUUUCACGGGGGGAAAAAGUGAAGAGGAUUUCUUCUCCGGGAUGGACAGAAGCAUGUCGUGUUUAGGAAUGUGGACGCGUGAAAGCGAACGCGAUUCGCAUUUUUUUGGGCCUCAUCUUCACGUCUCGCUCGUCUUCGUAAGCCAAGGUUUUCAUCCCGCGUUUGAGCGUGGAUCUUUGGAACGGGUGUGAACACUCUGGCCUUCGAAUGCGGUCUUAGUUCGAGCCGGUUCCAAAAAGAAAAGAAAAACCUGGAGCUAAAAUUUGCUAAAAUCCAAAAAGUUCAUUUUAUUUCGGAUUAAUCAUUAAUACUUAUGAGCCUGUGAUAUUUCAGUUUUUCUUUUUUAAUAAAUUUGCAAAGAUUUCUACA
Molecule: long non-coding RNA, 1100 nt
Organism: Pseudoliparis swirei
Lineage: Eukaryota; Metazoa; Chordata; Actinopteri; Perciformes; Liparidae
Exons: 2
Source: RefSeq, a predicted model, not a curated record